Non-coding RNA from Pangasianodon gigas (Mekong giant catfish), 74 nucleotides. Lineage: Eukaryota; Metazoa; Chordata; Actinopteri; Siluriformes; Pangasiidae. The record is from the annotation of a GenBank genome assembly.
GGCAGUGGUAGCACAGUGGUUAAGACGUUGGACUACUGUUCAGAGGGUCGUGAGUUCAAAUCCCACCACUGUUA